This 318-nucleotide unclassified non-coding RNA is filed under the name uncultured fungus. Its description in RNAcentral is "partial contains 5.8S ribosomal RNA, internal transcribed spacer 2, and large subunit ribosomal RNA". Lineage: Eukaryota; Fungi. The record is from RNAcentral.
AACGCAUAUUGCGCCUGCUGGUAUUCCGGUAGGCAUAUCUGUUUGAGCGUCAGCAAACAUCUCUCAGCGUAGGUGUUGUUGCCUUCACUGGUCCUGAGUUUGGGGUUCUUCGGACAGUUGCUGCUCCCUCCCCCCCGACUUUAAUUUGCUGCACGACCGCGAGCUACCUUACGCUUGGGUUUUACAGAGUGGAAAUUUACUUUUAACUUCUGUAUCCGAGCGUCGACCAGCUCAGGCGGCGUUAAACGUCUAAGGUUUGCCUCCUGUGGCGGACUGAAGUUUGACCUCAAAUCAGAUAAGAAUACCCGCUGAACUUAA